UACGGAGGGGGCUAGCGUUGUUCGGAAUUACUGGGCGUAAAGCGCACGUAGGCGGAUGUGCCAGUCAGGGGUGAAAUCCCGGAGCUCAACUUCGGAACUGCCCUUGAUACAGCACGUCUUGAGUCCGAGAGAGGUGGAUGGAAUUCCUAGUGUAGAGGUGAAAUUCGUAGAUAUUAGGAAGAACACCGGUGGCGAAGGCGGUCCACUGGCUCGGUACUGACGCUGAGGUGCGAAAGCGUGGGGAGCAAACAGG
RNAcentral lists this ribosomal RNA (253 nucleotides) under uncultured bacterium. Its description in RNAcentral is "partial 16S ribosomal RNA". It matches the Rfam family "Bacterial small subunit ribosomal RNA", at positions 524 to 776 of the family's 1533-position model. The record is from RNAcentral.